This 511-nucleotide ribosomal RNA is filed under the name uncultured bacterium. RNAcentral's name for it is "bacterial SSU rRNA". It matches the Rfam family "Bacterial small subunit ribosomal RNA", at positions 1 to 527 of the family's 1533-position model. The record is from RNAcentral.
UAGAGUUUGAUCAUGGCUCAGGGUGAACGCUGGCGGCGUGCUUGACACAUGCAAGUCGAACGGUAUGUGGCAACACAUAGAGUGGCGAACGGGUGAGUAACACGUGGGAACGUACCUUCUGCAGGGGGAUAACUGACCGAAAGGACAGUUAAUACCGCAUAAGACCGAGAGGAGAAAGGUGCAACAGCAUCGGCAGAGGAGCGGCCCGCGGACCAUCAGCUAGUUGGUGGGGUAAGAGCCUACCAAGGCAACGACGGAUAGCCGGCGUGAGAGCGUGGCCGGCCACAAGGACACUGAGAUACGGGUCCUACUCCUACGGGAGGCAGCAGUGCGGAAUUUUAGAUAAUGGAGGCAACUCUGAUCUAGCGACGCCGCGUGCAGGAAGAAGGUCUUCGGAUUGUAAACUGCUGUGGUAAGGGAAAAAUGCCAUGUAGAGUGGAAAGCUACAUGGAGGGAUGGUACUUUACUAGAAAGCCCCGGCUAACUACGUGCCAGCAGCCGCGGUAAUACA